UACGGGGGGGGCAAGCGUUGUUCGGAAUUACUGGGCGUAAAGGGCUCGUAGGCGGCCAACUAAGUCAGACGUGAAAUCCCUCGGCUUAACCGGGGAACUGCGUCUGAUACUGGUUGGCUUGAAUACUGGAGAGGGUUGCGGAAUUCCCGGUGUAGAGGUGAAAUUCGUAGAUAUCGGGAGGAACACCAGUGGCGAAGGCGGCAACCUGGACAGAUAUUGACGCUGAGGUGCGAAAGCGUGGGGAGCAAACAGG
This 253-nucleotide ribosomal RNA is filed under the name uncultured bacterium. Its description in RNAcentral is "partial 16S ribosomal RNA". It matches the Rfam family "Bacterial small subunit ribosomal RNA", at positions 524 to 776 of the family's 1533-position model. The record is from RNAcentral.